GUCACUGUAACGCAAAGGAUAGCGCAUUGGACUUCUCAUACAAAGGUUGUGGUUUCGAUUACCACGUGGGAUG
Trichonephila inaurata madagascariensis is the source of this 73-nucleotide non-coding RNA. NCBI's taxonomy places the organism in Eukaryota, Metazoa, Arthropoda, Arachnida, Araneae, Nephilidae. The record is from the annotation of a GenBank genome assembly.